GAAGGUGUGAUGUCAUCAGGUGUGCAUGUGACGCAGGUGUGGGUGGAGCUCCUCUCGGCUGGGCAGGUGGAGGUGAGGGCGGGGCUGUCAUACGGCAGCUUCCUGCUGCUCCACAGGACUGAUGAAGACUUGGCUCGGAUGAUGAAGAGGCUGGUGAACAGUUUCCACGACGACAGAGAGACGCUGUCCUCCAGCCUGCUCACAGUCCAUUAUCCAUGAGGACCAGAAAGUAGACCAGUCCAUUAUCCAUGAAGACCAGAAGAUAGACCAGUCCAGUAUCCAUGAGGACCAGAAGGUAGACCAGUCCAUUAUCUUUGAAGACCAGAAGAUAGACCAGUCCAACAGGCAUGCUGUCCAGGAUGAUGACCAGUCCAUUAUCCAUGAGGACCAGGAUGACGACCAGUCCAUUAUCCAUGAGGACCAGGAUGAAGACCUGUCCUCUGGGCAUGAGGACCAGGAUCUGAGGGAUUUCCAGAGUACCGGGUCUCUGUCAGAGAUCUCAAGGUCAAACGGUUUCUGUCUGGCUAACACUGAGACCAUCCUGUUUGACCCGACUCCGCCCACAAACUGUGUCAACCAAUCAGAAGACUCAACAGUAAGACGAGCGAGUGUCCCUCCAGCCGUCUGUCUGCAGUUCUGUCACCCGUCUGUCUCUCCUCCUCUUCUUCAUGGUUUUUCAGGGAUGUUAAGCAGACUGAAGAGGAGGAGCUUGAGACGGGCCCAGUCUCGUUGCCUGGCCCCCUCCACCUGCUGCACACCUGGACCCUUGAGACAGACAUCCUUGAAUGAAUGAAGACACAUACAGCAGAGACAUGGGGGGCUUCAGUGAACCCUGGUGGGAGAUCAUGAAGCCUCUUCUCACCUGACUGUAGAUCAGGGAUUGAUGGACUGGAAAAAGACUUUAAAAACUGGCUCCUGGACUGUCAGAUAGAUAGAUAGAUAGAAGAUGUGAAAUGAACCUUUGUACAAAGUAAACACUAAACACUUCCAGAAGAAUAAAGUUCAAACCUGUUCAACAUGAAA
This is a long non-coding RNA of Notolabrus celidotus (New Zealand spotty), 1023 nucleotides long. RefSeq lists it as uncharacterized. The transcript is spliced from 4 exons. Lineage: Eukaryota; Metazoa; Chordata; Actinopteri; Labriformes; Labridae. The record is from RefSeq and is a predicted model, not a curated record.